UUACGGCCGUAUCACGUUGAAACAUCGGUUCUCGUACGAUCACCGAAGUUAAGCAAUGUCGAGCCUGGUCAGUACCAAUAUGACUGACUGCUUGGGAAAAGCAAGUAGUGUA
Non-coding RNA from Acanthosepion pharaonis, 112 nucleotides. The record is from the annotation of a GenBank genome assembly. Lineage: Eukaryota; Metazoa; Mollusca; Cephalopoda; Sepiida; Sepiidae.